AAAUUGAAGAGUUUGAUCAUGGCUCAGAUUGAACGCUGGCGGCAGGCCUAACACAUGCAAGUCGAACGGUAACAGGAAGCAGCUUGGCUGCUUUGCUGACGAGUGGCGGACGGGUGAGUAAUGUCUGGGAAACUGCCUGAUGGAGGGGGAUAACUACUGGAAACGGUGGCUAAUACCGCAUAACG
Molecule: ribosomal RNA, 185 nt
Filed under: Salmonella enterica subsp. enterica serovar Typhi
Lineage: Bacteria; Pseudomonadati; Pseudomonadota; Gammaproteobacteria; Enterobacterales; Enterobacteriaceae
Description: partial 16S ribosomal RNA
Rfam family: Bacterial small subunit ribosomal RNA
Source: RNAcentral